GGCGUAAAGAGCUCGUAGGCGGUUUGUCGCGUCUGCUGUGAAAUUUCGAGGCUCAACCUCGAACUUGCAGUGGGUACGGGCAGGCUAGAGUGCGGUAGGGGAGAUGGGAAUUCCUGGUGUAGCGGUGGAAUGCGCAGAUAUCAGGAGGGACACCAAUGGCGAAGGCACAUCUCUGGGCCGUAACUGACGCUGAGGAGCGAAAGCGUGGGGAGCGAACAGGAUUAGAUACCCUGGUAGUCCACGCCGUAAACGGUGGGUGCUAGCUGUGGGCCACAUUCCACGUGGUCCGUGACGAAGUUAACACAUUAAGCACCCCGCCUGGGGAGUACGGCCGCAAGGCUAAAACUCAAAGGAAUUGACGGGGGCCCGCACAAGCGGCGGAGCAUGCGGAUUAAUUCGAUGCAACGCGAAGAACCUUACCAAGGCUUGACAUAUAGAGGAAAAGUGCAGAAAUGUACUCCCCGCAAGGUCUCUAUACAGGUGGUGCAUGGUUGUCGUCAGCUCGUGUCGUGAGAUGUUGGGUUAAGUCCCGCAACGAGCGCAACCCUCGUCCUAUGUUGCCAGCACGUAAUGGUGGGAACUCAUGGGAUACUGCCGGGGUCAACUCGGAGGAAGGU
Molecule: ribosomal RNA, 617 nt
Filed under: uncultured Actinomycetes bacterium
Lineage: Bacteria; Bacillati; Actinomycetota; Actinomycetes
Description: bacterial SSU rRNA
Rfam family: Bacterial small subunit ribosomal RNA
Source: RNAcentral